CGGUAAGACGACGUGGAGGACCGAACCCACUUAGGUUGAAAACUGAGGGGAUGACCUGUGGAUAGGGGUGAAAGGCCAAUCAAACUUCGUGAUAGCUGGUUCUCCCCGAAAUGCAUUUAGGUGCAGCGUUGCGUGUUUCUUGCCGGAGGUAGAGCACUGGAUAGCUAAUGGGCCCUACAAGGUUACUGACGUUAGCCAAACUCCGAAUGCCGGUAAGUGAGAGCGCAGCAGUGAGACUGCGGGGGAUAAGCUCCGUAGUCGAGAGGGAAACAGCCCAGACCAUCAGCUAAGGCCCCUAAGCGGUGACUAAGUGGAAAAGGAUGUGGAGUCGCAUUGACAACCAGGAGGUUGGCUUGGAAGCAGCCACCCUUGAAAGAGUGCGUAAUAGCUCACUGGUCAAGUGAUUCCGCGCCGACAAUGUAGCGGGGCUCAAGUCAUCCGCCGAAGCUAUGGCAUUCAGCAAUUACAUCAGCAUCGACAUCGUUCGGUGUUCAGUGUGCUGGAUGGGUAGGGGAGCGUCGUGUGGGCAGUGAAGCGCCGGAGUGAUCCAGGUGUGGAGCCCACACGAGUGAGAAUGCAGGCAUGAGUAGCGAAUCACGGGCGAGAAACCCGUGCGCCGAAUGAUCAAGGGUUCCAGGGUCAAGCUAAUCUGCCCUGGGUAAGUCGGGACCUAAGGCGAGGCCGACAGGCGUAGUCGAUGGACAACGGGUUGAUAUUCCCGUACCGGCAAAGUAGCGCCCAUGACGAACCUGGUGAUGCUAACCACCCGAAACACGUGUGACCGGACCCUUCGGGGCGAGGCGUGCGUGCGGAGCGUGGGACCCGAACUGGUAGUAGUCAAGCGAUGGGGUGACGCAGGAAGGCAGCCCAACCACAGCGAUGGUUGUCUGUGGGCAAGCGUGUAGGACGUACCGUAGGCAAAUCCGCGGUAUCCACUUGAGUGUGGUGUCUGAGACGUGACGCGGAGCCAAUUUUGGUGAAGUGGGUGAUCCUAUGCUGCCGAGAAAAACCUCUAGCGAGCUACGCGCCGCCCGUACCCCAAACCGACUCAGGUGAUCAGGUAGAGAAUACUAAGGCGAUCGAGAUAACCAUGGUUAAGGAACUCGGCAAAAUGCCCCCGUAACUUCGGGAGAAGGGGGGCCCGGAGCGUGAACCCACUUGCUGGGGGAUGCGUGAAGGGCCGCAGAGACCAGGCCCAAGCGACUGUUUACUAAAAACACAGGUCCGUGCGAAGUUGUAAGACGAUGUAUACGGACUGACUCCUGCCCGGUGCUGGAAGGUUAAGAGGACCUGUUAGAUCGUAAGAUCGAUGCGGAGAAUUUAAGCCCCAGUAAACGGCGGUGGUAACUAUAACCAUCCUAAGGUAGCGAAAUUCCUUGUCGGGUAAGUUCCGACCUGCACGAAUGGAGUAACGACUUGGGCGCUGUCUCAACCAUGGACUCGGCGAAAUUGCAGUACGAGUAAAGAUGCUCGUUACGCGCGGCAGGACGGAAAGACCCCGGGACCUUUACUAUAGUUUGGUAUUGGUGUUUGGUUCGGCUUGUGUAGGAUAGGUGGGAGACGGUGAAGCCCUCACGCCAGUGGGGGUGGAGUCAACGUUGAAAUACCACUCUGGUCGUACUAGAUGUCUAACCUAGGUCCGUAAUCCGGAUCAGGGACAGUGCCUGAUGGGUAGUUUAACUGGGGCGGUUGCCUCCUAAAGUGUAACGGAGGCGCUCAAAGGUUCCCUCAGCCUGGUUGGCAAUCAGGUGGCGAGUGUAAGUGCACAAGGGAGCUUGACUGUGAGACAGACAUGUCGAGCAGGGACGAAAGUCGGAACUAGUGAUCCGGCGCCAGCAGGUGGAAGCGGCGUCGCUCAACGGAUAAAAGGUACCCCGGGGAUAACAGGCUGAUCUUCCCCAAGAGUCCAUAUCGACGGGAUGGUUUGGCACCUCGAUGUCGGCUCGUCGCAUCCUGGGGCUGGAGUAGGUCCCAAGGGUUGGGCUGUUCGCCCAUUAAAGCGGCACGCGAGCUGGGUUUAGAACGUCGUGAGACAGUUCGGUCCCUAUCCGC
Molecule: ribosomal RNA, 2052 nt
Filed under: Spirochaetaceae bacterium
Lineage: Bacteria; Pseudomonadati; Spirochaetota; Spirochaetia; Spirochaetales; Spirochaetaceae
Description: partial 23S ribosomal RNA
Rfam family: Bacterial large subunit ribosomal RNA
Source: RNAcentral